This 253-nucleotide ribosomal RNA is filed under the name uncultured bacterium. RNAcentral describes it as "partial 16S ribosomal RNA". It matches the Rfam family "Bacterial small subunit ribosomal RNA", at positions 524 to 776 of the family's 1533-position model. The record is from RNAcentral.
GACAGAGGGUGCAAACGUUGCUCGGAAUUACUGGGCGUAAAGGGCGCGUAGGCGGCCUGCUAAGUCGAACGUGAAAUCCCCGGGCUCAACCCGGGAACUGCGUCCGAUACUGACAGGCUUGAAUCCGGGAGAGGGAUGUGGAAUUCCAGGUGUAGCGGUGAAAUGCGUAGAUAUCUGGAGGAACACCGGUGGCGAAGGCGGCAUCCUGGACCGGUAUUGACGCUGAUGCGCGAAAGCCAGGGGAGCAAACGGG